Tetranychus urticae (two-spotted spider mite) is the source of this 1273-nucleotide non-coding RNA. Lineage: Eukaryota; Metazoa; Arthropoda; Arachnida; Trombidiformes; Tetranychidae. The record is from RefSeq and is a predicted model, not a curated record.
AACCCGCCAUGUUUGAACAAACCAAAAUGCCAUCUUUACAAUAACAAAGCAACAAUAAUUAUAGUUAAAUUGUUGUUGAUAAUUGUGUAAUUUGUGUUUUUGUGUGUUUCAACUAACUGAUUCUAUUAACAAUGAAUCAAUAGACAAUAACAAGCAACAAUAAUAACCCGCAUUAACAGAAGUACAUUAUGUUGAUCAAGUUAACAUUACUUGGAAAUUGGAAAAGGUAAAUGUGUAACACAAUGUGUUACUGUGUUCAAAUAUAAAAAUGUAAACACACAAAUAUACACACAAAUUAACCUUAAACAGUGUAAUCAAUUAAAUCAUCGACCUGAAGGUUAAUCAGUUUUCAAUGAUAAUACAAGGAACCAUUCUUACCUUGGUCAACACACAAAGUAAAGUUGAACAACAAUCAGCUUUAAUUAACAUUGAGCUUAUUAAAAUGGUAAAUGGUUAUAAAAUUGGUGAAUAAAUACGGAAUAAAUGGCAACUAAUCAAACCUAAUACUGGUAAACCAUUAGAGGUGAUUGGACACGAGUCUUUACAUAUACAAUGGCCCAUACCAGUAUCAUUGAAUAUCAAUAUUCCAUACAGAUAAAUGGAAACGAUGAAUAUUUAUGGAUAAGAAGAUGAUAAAGACGAUGAUGAUGAUGAUUAUGAUGAUUAUGAUGAUGAAGAUGAUGGUGAAGAUUGAGAGUGACUUAUAAAUGGGAUGUGCCAUUGUGCCUGGAGGCUGUUAUAUUGGGCACUUUGGUGUUCCUAUUUAUGUGUUGUAUAUGCCAAUGGAAUGUAAUUAGACUGUUGCGUGGUUUCUUUAAGGUUUGGCCAUCAAACAAAUGAAUAAGAUAGAUCCGGAUUCUUAGGAAUCAUCAUCAUCAUCAUCAACAGGCUCAUCAUUAUCAUCUUUUUGAUUCAAUCAUCAUCCUAUAUUGUGCAUUUACACUUUCAUUACAGUUUAAGGUUCAACAGGUAAAGCAAAAGAAACCUAUUUCCAUUUGUUUCAACCAUCAAGGAUAAUUAGUUUCUUAGAUGAUUACCAUUACCUGCUCUUUACAAUUAAAUUAUCAACAUUUACUCUGGAUGUCUGUAGAUGAGCGUUUCUUUUUUGCGUUCAACAUGCCUUUGCGCCUUUCUGUCAUUACACGGGUACAAUAUUGGUUUAACUGUGGGUUUACUUGUUGUUAAAUUUGACCCUUGUCUUUCAAUGUGACCAGUUAAUUGUUGGUUGUAAUCGUCAUGUAUAUUAGUUGAAUUAAAGGUUGUAAACAUGUAA